UACGUAGGGUGCAAGCGUUAAUCGGAAUUACUGGGCGUAAAGCGUGCGCAGGCGGAUUUGUAAGUCUGAUGUGAAAUCCCCGGGCUCAACCUGGGAAUUACAUUGGAGACUGCAAGGCUAGAAUCUGGCAGAGGGGGGUAGAAUUCCACGUGUAGCAGUGAAAUGCGUAGAGAUGUGGAGGAACACCGAUGGCGAAGGCAGCCCCCUGGGUCAAGAUUGACGCUCAUGCACGAAAGCGUGGGGAGCAAACAGG
RNAcentral lists this ribosomal RNA (253 nucleotides) under uncultured bacterium. RNAcentral's name for it is "partial 16S ribosomal RNA". It matches the Rfam family "Bacterial small subunit ribosomal RNA", at positions 524 to 776 of the family's 1533-position model. The record is from RNAcentral.